AUGCUCCUGCGAGGUGCACGCGAGGAUCUGGUCCAGGACGUGCUUGAACGGCGUGUCGCCGUCGAACACCCUGACCUGGAUGCCCAGCCGUUCGUCCGAAUUUUUCAGGUAGGAAUCGUAGAACCUCGUGAUCAGCCCCCACACUUUGUUCGUCGGGUGGAAGAGGUACCGUGCCAGGAGGUAGAACACCGAGUCCUUUCGGGGGAAAAGCUUGUCGAGCUCCUCCUGGUACGCCGGGUUCAGGAAGAGCGCGGGCACGAAGUAGCCGUCCGUCCUCAUCACCAGCCACGGCGCACGGUGGAGGAACUCCCGGUGGUCGUCGCAGUAGAAGAGCUUGUCGUGGUAGGUGCAGGCGUGGUCGAGGUCGACGAAGACGUAUGGGAGAUCGGACACGGACGCGGCCCGGCCGUACUCCCGCACCAGGUUCCGGUAGCUCUCCGGCACCUCGCCGGUCAGGUUCUCGAGGUCCCUGAGCGGGAAGUCCGGGGGCAGCAACCACGACGUCUCCUGGAACGGCUCGCAGAGGAGGUCGGGCAGCGACGUGCCCCUGUGGACGAGCAGCACGCGGUCGGUGAGCAUGGCGUAGAGGAACGCCGACGCCAUGGCCAGUAUCCGGUUCCCCAGGCCCCUGUAAGGCACCAGCACGAGGUACUUGCAGGCGUCGUCAUCCGUGGUUGUGCUAGUGCCAUCUUCUCGGGGCCCCAGCCGCUCCGCCGCUCGCCGGUAUGUCUCGGUGCCCGGGCCGCACCGCCUCUGCAGCGCCUCCUGCUCCCGCAGCCGCUUCACGAGGUGUGUCGACGGCGAGCGCGCCAGCUUCUUGAGGUGGGAGGUGGACUGGUACCGGCUGAUGCACGAUUGUUCGUCGAACCCGGGAACAAGCAGGCCUCCGAGGAGCCCGUCCUGAUUGGAUUCUGCAGGGCAACACGUGAAAGAAAUCAGCGCCUCUUCUACCCAAUUUGGCAUCGUGUAACGCAUAUCUCCUACAGUUAA
This 990-nucleotide ribosomal RNA is filed under the name Triticum aestivum (bread wheat). Its description in RNAcentral is "partial small subunit ribosomal RNA". The record is from RNAcentral. Lineage: Eukaryota; Viridiplantae; Streptophyta; Magnoliopsida; Poales; Poaceae.